AAAGUUGUUCUCAGUUCGGAUUGUAGUCUGCAACUCGACUACAUGAAGCUGGAAUCGCUAGUAAUCGUAGAUCAGCAUGCUACGGUGAAUACGCAAGUCGAGCGAACGGACGAGAAGCUUGCUUCUCUGAUGUUAGCGGCGGACGGGUGAGUAACACGUGGAUAACCUACCUAUAAGACUGGGAUAACUUCGGGAAACCGGAGCUAAUACCGGAUAAUAUUUUGAACCGCAUGGUUCAAAAGUGAAAGACGGUCUUGCUGUCACUUAUAGAUGGAUCCGCGCUGCAUUAGCUAGUUGGUAAGGUAACGGCUUACCAAGGCAACGAUGCAUAGCCGACCUGAGAGGGUGAUCGGCCACACUGGAACUGAGACACGGUCCAGACUCCUACGGGAGGCAGCAGUAGGGAAUCUUCCGCAAUGGGCGAAAGCCUGACGGAGCAACGCCGCGUGAGUGAUGAAGGUCUUCGGAUCGUAAAACUCUGUUAUUAGGGAAGAACAUAUGUGUAAGUAACUGUGCACAUCUUGACGGUACCUAAUCAGAAAGCCACGGCUAACUACGUGCCAGCAGCCGCGGUAAUACGUAGGUGGCAAGCGUUAUCCGGAAUUAUUGGGCGUAAAGCGCGCGUAGGCGGUUUUUUAAGUCUGAUGUGAAAGCCCACGGCUCAACCGUGGAGGGUCAUUGGAAACUGGAAAACUUGAGUGCAGAAGAGGAAAGUGGAAUUCCAUGUGUAGCGGUGAAAUGCGCAGAGAUAUGGAGGAACACCAGUGGCGAAGGCGACUUUCUGGUCUGUAACUGACGCUGAUGUGCGAAAGCGUGGGGAUCAAACAGGAUUAGAUACCCUGGUAGUCCACGCCGUAAACGAUGAGUGCUAAGUGUUAGGGGGUUUCCGCCCCUUAGUGCUGCAGCUAACGCAUUAAGCACUCCGCCUGGGGAGUACGACCGCAAGGUUGAAACUCAAAGGAAUUGACGGGGACCCGCACAAGCGGUGGAGCAUGUGGUUUAAUUCGAAGCAACGCGAAGAACCUUACCAAAUCUUGACAUCCUUUGACAACUCUAGAGAUAGAGCCUUCCCCUUCGGGGGACAAAGUGACAGGUGGUGCAUGGUUGUCGUCAGCUCGUGUCGUGAGAUGUUGGGUUAAGUCCCGCAACGAGCGCAACCCUUAAGCUUAGUUGCCAUCAUUAAGUUGGGCACUCUAAGUUGACUGCCGGUGACAAACCGGAGGAAGGUGGGGAUGACGUCAAAUCAUCAUGCCCCUUAUGAUUUGGGCUACACACGUGCUACAAUGGACAAUACAAAGGGCAGCGAAACCGCGAGGUCAAGCAAAUCCCAUAAAGUUGUUCUCAGUUCGGAUUGUAGUCUGCAACUCGACUACAUGAAGCUGGAAUCGCUAGUAAUCGUAGAUCAGCAUGCUACGGUGAAUACGUUCCCGGGUCUUGUACACACCGCCCGUCACACCACGAGAGUUUGUAACACCCGAAGCCGGUGGAGUAACCUUUUAGGAGCUAGCCGUCGAAGGUGGGACAAAUGAUUGGGGUGAAGUCGUAACAAGGUAGCCGUAUCGGAAGGUGCGGCUGGAUCACCU
RNAcentral lists this ribosomal RNA (1583 nucleotides) under Staphylococcus aureus M1061. RNAcentral describes it as "bacterial SSU rRNA". It matches the Rfam family "Bacterial small subunit ribosomal RNA". Lineage: Bacteria; Bacillati; Bacillota; Bacilli; Caryophanales; Staphylococcaceae. The record is from RNAcentral.